AAUAAAAAUAAAAAUAAAUAAAGAAGCUUAAAGUUUAAACUUAAAAAGAAUAUUUGGGUUUGAUGGGUAUACAGUAAUAUAAAAACUAGCAUGUAGUGAGUAGUUAAAAUAUAAUUAGAACCAUAUUUUUGUGAAAAAAUUAAGUAUGCCUUUGAAAAGGCAGUUUGCUCUUUUAAUUAUUAUUAAGCUGCUGUGGCCCAACAUUUCUUACAUUUAUUAAAUUCAUUAACUGAAGAAGGGCCUCUCUUGUUAAGCAAUUCUGGAAAGACUGUAAAUCCUCCGCAAACAAUAAUAGCUAGAGGAAGAACAAACACAAACCUUUUUGUGAACCCAAUAAAACACUGAGCUCAUUGGGCCUCCAAAGUUCAGAAUUAUUUAAAGGCUCAUCCAUGAAGAAAUGAGUCAGGAGCUUCUGCUAGGUCUGAAAAGCUUACAGUAUGAUCUGACAGCAGUAGAGUUGCUGAUAAAACGACCACUAUUUCAUCAGGCAAUACAUUAAAGUUUUGACAAGUAAUUGAAAAUUGAAUAUGAGAGAGAGAGAGAGAGAGAGAGAGAGAGAGAGAGAGAGAGAGAGAGAGAGAGAGAGAGAGAGAGAGAGAGAGAGAGAAAGAGAGAGAGAGAGAAUUAAAUUUCUAGCAGUACCCUGUGAAUACCUCCUUGAAGUGGCUCAUUCUUAUUUUAAUUGGACAUCAACUGAGUAUUGGCUUGUGAGAAAUAAUAAAGUGAUCUGAAAGCCAGAAAGAAAAAUUUCUCAGACAUCAGUUGUAUAGUAGGUCUGUCUAUUAAUACAGGUUCAACAUGAAAGCCCCUGACCCCUCCCCCAAACUUUAUUUGUAGUUCAAAGCAAUGCAAUGUAGCCUUCAGUACAUAAAAGAUCAACUUCUGGCUAGAGUAACUCACUUCUUCAAAUAAAUGGGCUUACACUAUAAAAGGUAUAAACCAUGUCCUGGCAUAAAUAGUAUAAAUCUCAGUUUACCCCACAUUAUAAAUUUAAUAAAAUAGUUACAAAACAAAGAGAAAUUUAAAGAAAUAGAAACAUUGCCAAGAGUCUAAACACAUUAAAUUGUACUUGGAGAUAAUAUCAGAAGUUGGACUAUUCAUUAAGGUGACUAAUGGGAAAACAUGGGGGAGUGGGGAUAGGAAACAAUGGGAGUGGGAAGAAAGGGAGGAAGAGAGACUAUCAAAAGAAUAAGAGGAGAAGGAAGAGGAAGAAGAGGAAAAAGAGGAAGAAAAAAGGAGAAGGAAAAGGGGGAAACAAACACAUAAAGAAAAAUUCAAGAAGUAUCUGUCAAGAACUCCUGGACAGUGUCAAACCACUAAAGCUAUGUGGUGGUUUCAAUAUGGUUGGGUCAAGGAACUGCACUAUUAAGAGAUGUGGCCUUGUUGGAGUAGGCGUGGCCUUGUUGGAAGAAGUGUGUCAUUGUCUGGGUGGGAUUGGAGAACCUCCUCCUAGCUCUUGAAGGAUGGUAGUCUUGCCUUUUUUGACUUCACAACAAGAUGCAGAACUCUCAGUUCUUCUUGUUCCAUGCCUUCCUGGAUGCUGCCACGCUCCCAUAUUAAUGAUAAUGGACUGAACCUCUGAACCUAUGAGUCAACCUCGAUUAAAUGUUUUUUAUAAGAGUUUCCUUGGUCAUUGUGUCUCUUCAUAGCAUUAGAAGCCAUAACUAAAACAACCUACAGUUGAAUUUCCAGAGAAAGAAGAGAGAGAAUAAGGAGGAAACCCUGAAGAGGAAGAAGGAAUUUCUUUAAAGAAACAGGAAAUAGUCUGGCCUUUUUCAAGUUCUGCAAGAUAAUAAUCAAACCAUAA
This is a long non-coding RNA of Rattus rattus (black rat), 1807 nucleotides long. RefSeq lists it as uncharacterized. The transcript is spliced from 2 exons. NCBI's taxonomy places the organism in Eukaryota, Metazoa, Chordata, Mammalia, Rodentia, Muridae. The record is from RefSeq and is a predicted model, not a curated record.